This is an unclassified non-coding RNA of Cricetulus griseus (Chinese hamster), 244 nucleotides long. Its record names the gene 7SK. It matches the Rfam family "7SK RNA". From Rfam's summary of the family: 7SK was discovered as an abundant small nuclear RNA in the mid-70s but a possible function has only recently been suggested. Two independent studies have found that 7SK RNA binds the CDK9/cyclin T complex (known as elongation factor P-TEFb). The record is from Ensembl. NCBI's taxonomy places the organism in Eukaryota, Metazoa, Chordata, Mammalia, Rodentia, Cricetidae.
GGGUCCAUGUGCUCCCCCUUGCUCAGGCCAGCUCCAUGUGUGUCCCUUCCGAAGCUGUGCCCUCGGUUGAAGAGGACGACCUUCCUCAAAUAGAGGAGGACUGGUCUUCGGUCAAGGGUAUACUAGUAGCUGUGCUCCCCUGCUAGAAACUCCAAACAACCUCUCAAGGUCAAUUUUAAAAUGAAUUCUUAAAGUUGCUUUAAUUUACAUCUUCCUCACUGCUAGGGGAGAUAAAAGUUUUGGA